GGUCACGGAGUGCCGCGGGAGAGCCGCGCUGAGCAACCCGCAGUGCCGUAAUUCAAGGCCUCCCUGCGCAGCCUGUGCCACUGCAUCGCCUCUCUUUCUGAGAACAAAUUCUUCCUUAUCUCCAACCUGAACCCCGCCUUGCACAACUUAAAGCCAUCACCUCUUUUUCUGUUGCUGUUACCUGGGAGCAGAGGCCGACCCCCACCUCACACAACCUCCUUCAGGGAGCUGCAGAUAGCAUCAUCAUCAGCAAAUCUAUGACAACAUCUGGGCUGAAAGAGCAAAAGGAUACAUCAAAGUCGACUGAUGCACAAGCAACUUUAGACUGCCGUGACCAUGCCUAACACUUCUAGCCACAGCACUGUACCCUGAAUUAGAGAUGACAG
Molecule: long non-coding RNA, 386 nt
Organism: Lagopus muta (rock ptarmigan)
Lineage: Eukaryota; Metazoa; Chordata; Aves; Galliformes; Phasianidae
Exons: 3
Source: RefSeq, a predicted model, not a curated record